This 465-nucleotide ribosomal RNA is filed under the name Vreelandella stevensii. Its description in RNAcentral is "partial 16S ribosomal RNA". It matches the Rfam family "Bacterial small subunit ribosomal RNA", at positions 338 to 795 of the family's 1533-position model. Lineage: Bacteria; Pseudomonadati; Pseudomonadota; Gammaproteobacteria; Oceanospirillales; Halomonadaceae. The record is from RNAcentral.
CCUACGGGGGGCUGCAGUGGGGAAUAUUGGACAAUGGGGGGAACCCUGAUCCAGCCAUGCCGCGUGUGUGAAGAAGGCCCUCGGGUUGUAAAGCACUUUCAGUGAGGAAGAACGCCUGGUGGUUAAUACCCAUCAGGAAAGACAUCACUCACAGAAGAAGCACCGGCUAACUCCGUGCCAGCAGCCGCGGUAAUACGGAGGGUGCGAGCGUUAAUCGGAAUUACUGGGCGUAAAGCGCGCGUAGGUGGCUUGAUAAGCCGGUUGUGAAAGCCCCGGGCUCAACCUGGGAACGGCAUCCGGAACUGUCAAGCUAGAGUGCAGGAGAGGAAGGUAGAAUUCCCGGUGUAGCGGUGAAAUGCGUAGAGAUCGGGAGGAAUACCAGUGGCGAAGGCGGCCUUCUGGACUGACACUGACACUGAGGUGUGAAAGCGUGGGUAGCAAACAGGAUUAGAUACCCUAGUAGUC